Drosophila miranda is the source of this 320-nucleotide long non-coding RNA. RefSeq lists it as uncharacterized. The record is from RefSeq and is a predicted model, not a curated record. NCBI's taxonomy places the organism in Eukaryota, Metazoa, Arthropoda, Insecta, Diptera, Drosophilidae. The transcript is spliced from 2 exons.
CUCGUCUGUGCUUAUGUAAACGGCUGCUGGCAGCGGUUGCAGCAGCAUAUAGUCACAGUCCUUGCCCGCCAGGGGAAAAUCGAACUGCACUCUUGAACUGAUUUCUUCUACCGACCUGUGCAUACCGGCCUUCUCCAUUUCCACGUGCACUAUCGGCUGUUGCAGAAGAUAGCUGUGUGCUGCACUUGCCAGGAGCGCAAUCACACCUAUUGCACUCUUCCAAUUACGCUUUGAAAUCAUUUUUAGCUAAUAAAAUGCAAAAUUCUCAAGCAAAUUUGUAAAUAAAAACAUUCUGUUUCAUUUCCGACUCAUUUUCAAAA